RNA transcript from Eubalaena glacialis (North Atlantic right whale), 2053 nucleotides. It is a transcript of the gene named transmembrane protein 116, with no coding region annotated. NCBI's taxonomy places the organism in Eukaryota, Metazoa, Chordata, Mammalia, Artiodactyla, Balaenidae. The transcript has 14 exons. The record is from RefSeq and is a predicted model, not a curated record.
GCCCAGCUGGGUUAAGGGUGGAGCUACCUGUUUACUGCUUGGGAUUCAGAACCUGACCAGGAAGGAUCAGGCUGCUUGAAUUUAGCUGAGGCUGAAGUCCCUAUGGCCUUCCUACUGGAGGCUAGCAUUUUGGAGGACAAUUGGAACUUGUUAUUUUCUGCAAUACAGUGGAUACAGUUUGUUAUGGCUACUCUGAGUGUUAUAGGUUCAAGUUCACUUAUUGCCUAUGCUGUAUUCCAGAACAUACAGAAAUCUCCAGAGAUAAGGCCACUCGUUUAUCUGAGCUUCUCUGACCUCCUCCUGGGGAUAUACUGGCUCAUUGAGGCAGUUCUCUAUGGAACUUCAGCAGCCAAUAAGGACAUUGUCUGCUAUAACUUGCAAGCAGUUGGACAGAUAUUCUACAUUUCCUCAUUUUUCUACACUGUCAAUUACAUCUGGUACCUGUACAAAGAGCUGAGGAUGAAACCCCACCAGAGUGGACAGAGCACAGUUCCGCUGGUUAUAGGUUAUACCUGUCGAGUUAGUCAAACAGCCAUCAUUUUGUCAAGCCUGAUACCUCUACUAUUGAUGAUACCUGUAUUCUGUUUGGGCAAUGCCAGUGAAUGUUUCCGCAACUUCAGCCAGAGCCACAGGUGUAUCCUGAUGUACUCACCACCAACAGCCAUGGCUAAAGUCCUGCCUUCUGCCAACACAUCAGUCUGUAGCACACUUUAUUUUUAUGGGCUUAUCAUUUUCCUGGCCAGCUUUCUACUCAGCCUCCUCACCAUUGUGGUCUUACUCAUUCAAGCCCAGACACUUUAUAAGAAGUUUCUGAAAUCGACUGGCUUUCUGGGGAGUGAACAGUGGGCAGUGAUUCACAUUGUGGAGCAGCGAGUACGCUUCUACCCAGUGGCCUUCUUUUGCUGCUGGGGCCCAGCUGUCAUUCUGAUGAUCAUAAAGAUGACUAAGCCACAGGACACCAAACUUCACAUGGCCCUCUAUGUUCUCCAGAUGAAGAAACUGAAACCAAAAGAGGAGAAAUUACUCAGUGAAGAACAAGCAGUAGGAAUACCAGAACAACGUCCAAGUCCCAGGCAGCUAAGCCUCUGACACAGGUGUGGGGUGGAACCUGGGAAUCUGCAUUGCUAAGAAGCUGCCUGGUGCUGCAGAUGCUGCCAGUUGGUCCUGGACCACACUGAUGAGUGAGUGUAGACACCUCCAGGGUGCCCAUCACCCAACAGCCCCUGCUUAACAUCCGGUGAGUACCAUGUGACCCCAUCCUGCAGCCACAGCUGACUGGCUCAGGAAUGGACUUCUGGGCCAAGCUGGACCUAUCAGAAGCUCAUGGGAACUGAGACUGGAACAUUAAGCCAGCCAUGAGUCGUGUUGUCCAGGCUGAGGCAGUCAUCGUCUGCUGCAUGAAUAUUUAAGCAGUGAAAGCCAAUCUGCAGAGAAAGGAGAAGGCUGUGGAGAGAAGCAAAGAGGAGCAGCAUCCAGUCUCUCUUGGUAGAUGCAAGUGCCAUGAGGACAGGGACAGACGUUUCAGCUGACCUGGUGCCACCGCGCACCACCUUAAGCCUAAGAAGCUGCAGAGAAGAUGGGAGAACGGGGGUGAGCUCAAAGCUUUGCCCUUUGCCGCUCGGUUCACGUGUAAUGGCACUGUUGCUGCUGCUCAUCAUCAAAGCUAAAAUACAGAAUCAUUUCUUGAAGCAACGUCAACUGGAAUAUCCCAUUACUGAUGACUGGUCAUAAAAUCCUUGUCUCCUCAGUGAGCCAUCGGGGCUUCCCUGGUGGCGCAGUGGUUAAGAAUCCGCCUGCCUGUGCAGGAGACACGGGUUCAAGCCCUGAUCCAGGAAGAUCCCACAUGCCGCGGAGCAACUAAGCCCAUGUGCCACAACUACUGAGCCUGUGCUCUAGAGCCCGCGAGCCACAACUACUGAAGCCCACAUGCCUAGAGCCCGUGCUUCACAACAAGAGAAGCUACCGCAAUGAGAAGCCCGUGCACCACAACAAAGAGUAGCCCCCACUCGCCGCAACCAGAAAAAAGCCCACGUGCGGCAACAAAGACCCAACA